AUGGGGAUGCGUUCCAUUAGAUAGUAGGCGGGGUAACGGCCCACCUAGUCUUCGAUGGAUAGGGGUUCUGAGAGGAAGGUCCCCCACAUUGGAACUGAGACACGGUCCAAACUCCUACGGGAGGCAGCAGUGAGGAAUAUUGGUCAAUGGGCGAGAGCCUGAACCAGCCAAGUAGCGUGAAGGAUGACUGCCCUAUGGGUUGUAAACUUCUUUUAUAAAGGAAUAAAGUCGGGUAUGGAUACCCGUUUGCAUGUACUUUAUGAAUAAGGAUCGGCUAACUCCGUGCCAGCAGCCGCGGUAAUACGGAGGAUCCGAGCGUUAUCCGGAUUUAUUGGGUUUAAAGGGAGCGUAGAUGGAUGUUUAAGUCAGUUGUGAAAGUUUGCGGCUCAACCGUAAAAUUGCAGUUGAUACUGGAUAUCUUGAGUGCAGUUGAGGCAGGCGGAAUUCGUGGUGUAGCGGUGAAAUGCUUAGAUAUCACGAAGAACUCCGAUUGCGAAGGCAGCCUGCUAAGCUGCAACUGACAUUGAGGCUCGAAAGUGUGGGUAUCAAACAGGAUUAGAUACCCUGGUAGUCCACACGGUAAACGAUGAAUACUCGCUGUUUGCGAUAUACGGCAA
RNAcentral lists this ribosomal RNA (617 nucleotides) under uncultured bacterium. Its description in RNAcentral is "bacterial SSU rRNA". It matches the Rfam family "Bacterial small subunit ribosomal RNA", at positions 225 to 842 of the family's 1533-position model. The record is from RNAcentral.